RNAcentral lists this transfer RNA (74 nucleotides) under Acidobacteriota bacterium. RNAcentral's name for it is "Acidobacteria bacterium (activated sludge metagenome) tRNA-Cys". It matches the Rfam family "tRNA". Rfam says of the family: Transfer RNA (tRNA) molecules are approximately 80 nucleotides in length. Their secondary structure includes four short double-helical elements and three loops (D, anti-codon, and T loops). RNAcentral also lists the same sequence under 4 other names. The record is from RNAcentral. Lineage: Bacteria; Pseudomonadati; Acidobacteriota.
GGCGCGUUCGCCAAGUGGUAAGGCAAAGGUCUGCAAAACCUUUAUCGGCGGUUCGAUUCCGCCACGCGCCUCCA